Molecule: long non-coding RNA, 1220 nt
Organism: Herpailurus yagouaroundi (jaguarundi)
Lineage: Eukaryota; Metazoa; Chordata; Mammalia; Carnivora; Felidae
Exons: 2
Source: RefSeq, a predicted model, not a curated record
CACCGCAGCACUGUGGGUAAUGUAGUCCUCGCGCCAUUAGCUGAGCCGGCUGUCGAGGGUGGGAAUAAGCCUGGAAGGGCAGGCCCGCGAGAUGCAUUGUGGACAACGUAGUCCUCGAACCCCUGGCCGACUACCUGUAAGCGCGUGGGAAAGAGACCGCGUGGGCGGGACCACAGGAAGCAUUAUGGGUAUCGUAGUCCUUGCACCUUCAGUGAGUAGGCGGGCGUUUCGAGGUCCCGUAGCUUUUGGGCCAUGCUACCCGUGUCGCCUCCAUACGCCCUCCCCUAGCCUGAGAAAGGUCCACGGUGGGAGGGGAUUUUGUAAAUUUACGUUUCUACUUACAUAGUACUUUGUAUGUACCCGGCUCUGUUUUAAAUACUUUGCAAUUUAUUAACAGUUCAUCCUUGAAACAAAGAUGGGAGGUAGGUACUAUUAGCAAUAUUUUAUAGAUGAGGAAAGGAGGCAGAGAGGUUCAGUGACCAGACCAAGGUCACACACACUCAGUAAGUGGAGAGCUGGGGUGAGGUUGGAAUCCAGGCAUCUGUCCUAGUCCAACUCUUUAAUUUUAGAGACUAAGAAGUGAAGACCCAGAAAGUUACUUAUUUGGGGCAUCUUGGAUACCAAUGGCUGAUUUCUUUUAUUUGUUAAUUUAAUCAACAAAUACUGGGCUCUGCUUUGUAACAGGCAGGCACCAUGAACAGGAAGUGAACUAGACAAAUGGUCCCUGGUGUUGCUGUCCAGACUGGAGAAAACUAAGCCCCUGGCCCUUUAAGCAGUGGUUAUGGAGUCUACAAGACCGUUUGAGUUAAAAUGGCAGCCUCCUACUCACAGAAGUUUGCAAGCAACUGAGCGACCCACACAUAUGCUUCUCGGAAGACAGAGGGGAAGUUCCCUUCAGACUGAUGCCAUGGUUCCAUCGUCACAGACAAGGCAUCGAUUCAGCUCACAUUUGCUCUUGGUGUUUAACUGUGGCAGGGAAAAGAGGGUUUACAAUCAAGCUCUCCAGAAGUUGUCAUCUUUGGUAGCAAUUUCUCAGUAUCCAAAUGAGGAAGAAACAAAAAUUCAAUAUACAAGUCAAAUAGUUUAGCUAAUUUGACUAAAUUAUCUAAGAGAGUCGUCAUGGAGCUACUAUGCCCCAAAACUGAUAUAUAAUGGGUGUUUUGUUACACUUUUUAUAAGGCCUCUAUGAGCUAAUAAUAAAACCUAAUGUUUUUAAAGCA